GACGAACGCUGGCGGCGUGCUGAACACAUGCAAGUCGAACGGUGAAGCGCCUUCCUUUUUGGUGGGUGUGGAUGAGUGGCGAACGGGUGAGUAACACGUGAGUAACCUGCCCCCUUCUUCUGGAUAACCGCAUGAAAGUGUGGCUAAUACGGGAUAUUCUGGGUCUGUCGCAUGAUGGGUCUGGGAAAGAUAUUGUUUCGGUGGGGGAUGGGCUCGCGGCCUAUCAGCUUGUUGGUGGGGUGAUGGCCUACCAAGGCGGUGACGGGUAGCCGGCCUGAGAGGGUGGACGGUCACACUGGGACUGAGACACGGCCCAGACUCCUACGGGAGGCAGCAGUGGGGAAUAUUGCACAAUGGGCGCAAGCCUGAUGCAGCGACGCCGCGUGAGGGAUGGAGGCCUUCGGGUUGUGAACCUCUUUCGCCAGUGAAGCAGGCCUGCCUCGUUUGUGGGUGGGUUGACGGUAGCUGGAUAAGAAGCGCCGGCUAACUACGUG
Molecule: ribosomal RNA, 494 nt
Filed under: uncultured bacterium
Lineage: Bacteria
Description: partial 16S ribosomal RNA
Rfam family: Bacterial small subunit ribosomal RNA
Source: RNAcentral